RNAcentral lists this long non-coding RNA (1189 nucleotides) under Mytilus galloprovincialis (Mediterranean mussel). The record is from RNAcentral. Lineage: Eukaryota; Metazoa; Mollusca; Bivalvia; Mytilida; Mytilidae.
UUCGAUAAAAUGGAGCGCUGAACAUUUUGACUUAACCGAAUAAGAGGUACUAAAAAUGAGGACGAAAUACAAAUAUAAAGCAACCUACGGAACCCUUAUGAGUUAUUCCAAGGGUUCCUUUAAAAUACAAAGUACAUGGCAUUCUUCCUUCAUGAAGUAUCGAAUUCAACGUACCAAUUAUGACCAGUCGUGCUUGCGAAUUUAAACAUCUGCACUACCAUUUAGACAAUACACUUGAGCAAGUUGGUUGACCGUUAUGGAAUAACCGUUUCACAAAUGAUAUCGGAUAUGUUCCUUACUUCGUAACUACAAUCUCCUUCCCUUUCAUGAAUGUGACCUACCGAAUAAGACUAUUUACCGGAUUUGUUAUCACAUAAGCAACACGACGGGUGCCACAUCUAGAGCAGGAUCUGCUUACCCUUCCGGAGCACCCGAGAAUACCCCUAGUUUUUGGUGGGGUUCGUGUUGUUUAUUCUUAAGUUUUCUAUGUUGUGUCAUGUGUACUAUUGUUUGUCUGUUUGUCUUUUUCAUUUUUAGCCAUGACGUUGUCACUUUAUUUUAGAUUUAUGAGUUUGACUGUCCCUUUGGUAUCUUUCGUCCCUCUUUUAGCAAACGUUAAACAUGUUCAACCGGAUGGCAGAAAUACAGAGAUGUUCAAAACUAUCUUAGUCAAGCCUUAUAAUUAAAAUAAUCGUAACUUUAGUCUUUUGAAUAGUAUUUCAUUAACAAAGGAGUAAUGUAUGUUGGUAAACACAGUCGCAAAUCUAUUUAAUUAAAAUAAUGGCAAUAAAAAAAAACAAUAGCACUAACAAAUAUAUGCAAUUAAAUAUUUAAGUAUGAACAAUGACAAAAAUACUGAUAGAAGUUACAAUAUUAACAAAUAUUGAUAUAAAACAAUGGUUAAAAAUUAUACUCAAAAACAUCAACACGUGCAAAUGUCUCGUGCUUUCAUGUCAGGUGACCAUGUAUUAAGUGAAUCACAAGUAAUAAAGAAACAAAAAAUAUGAGUGUGUGUCUUACCUGAGUUAUACAUGUUAUAACCAACAAAAGUAUUACACGUCUUAAAACAUUUUUAAAUAUCAUAAUAAUAUGCCCUAGCACGAUACAUAAAACUCAACCUUAAGAAUAACAAUAACAAAAGUAUACCUGAUUUAGGUAAACAUGAUAACAAGGUACGCAUUCAACAACA